This 492-nucleotide ribosomal RNA is filed under the name uncultured bacterium. RNAcentral describes it as "partial 16S ribosomal RNA". It matches the Rfam family "Bacterial small subunit ribosomal RNA", at positions 29 to 507 of the family's 1533-position model. The record is from RNAcentral.
AGUGAACGCUGGCGGUAGGCCUAACACAUGCAAGUCGAACGGCAGCACAGUAAGAGCUUGCUCUUACGGGUGGCGAGUGGCGGACGGGUGAGGAAUACAUCGGAAGCUACUUUUUCGUGGGGGAUAACGUAGGGAAACUUACGCUAAUACCGCAUACGACCUACGGGUGAAAGCAGGGGAGCUUCGGACCUUGCGUGAUUGAAUGAGGCGAUGUCGGAUUAGCUAGUUGGCGGGGUAAAGGCCCACCAAGGCGACGAUCCGUAGCUGGUCUGAGAGGAUGAUCAGCCACACUGGAACUGAGACACGGUCCAGACUCCUACGGGAGGCAGCAGUGGGGAAUAUUGGACAAUGGGCGCAAGCCUGAUCCAGCCAUACCGCGUGGGUGAAGAAGGCCUUCGGGUUGUAAAGCCCUUUUGUUGGGAAAGAAAAGCAGCAGGUUAAUACCCCGCUGUUCUGACGGUACCCAAAGAAUAAGCACCGGCUAACUUCGUG